CUCCAGUUGACGAGUCUCAAAUAGGACGAAAUGCACAUCCCGGAU
This is a non-coding RNA of Trichobilharzia regenti, 45 nucleotides long. The record is from Rfam. Lineage: Eukaryota; Metazoa; Platyhelminthes; Trematoda; Strigeidida; Schistosomatidae.